This is a long non-coding RNA of Bombus impatiens (common eastern bumble bee), 255 nucleotides long. RefSeq lists it as uncharacterized. The record is from RefSeq and is a predicted model, not a curated record. Lineage: Eukaryota; Metazoa; Arthropoda; Insecta; Hymenoptera; Apidae. The transcript has 3 exons.
GUUUAAACAUUCUUCACGUACGCGGCCAUUUGCCACGCUCUUAACGUAAUCGAUUGCACUACACACUGCACCAGUAGAUCUUAAUUAAUCCGAUCUAAUAUAAAAUUAUGAUAUACAUAUUAAUUAUAAAUAUAAGAGACGCAGAUAUGGUUGCUGCUAUUUCACUUAUAAUUAAAAAGCAAACGUGCAUCAUACGCGCAUAUGUUAUCCUGCUUAUUACAAAUAAAUAUUUUGAAAUAAUAAUCGAAAUAAUAA